This 253-nucleotide ribosomal RNA is filed under the name uncultured bacterium. RNAcentral describes it as "partial 16S ribosomal RNA". It matches the Rfam family "Bacterial small subunit ribosomal RNA", at positions 524 to 776 of the family's 1533-position model. The record is from RNAcentral.
UACGUAGGGUCCGAGCGUUGUCCGGAAUUAUUGGGCGUAAAGGGCUCGUAGGCGGUUUGUCGCGUCGGGAGUGAAAACACGGGGCUUAACCCCGUGCCUGCUUCCGAUACGGGCAGACUAGAGGUAUGCAGGGGAGAACGGAAUUCCUGGUGUAGCGGUGAAAUGCGCAGAUAUCAGGAGGAACACCGGUGGCGAAGGCGGUGGUCUGGGCCGGCACUGACGCUGAGGAGCGAAAGCGUGGGUAGCAAACAGG